This 292-nucleotide ribosomal RNA is filed under the name uncultured bacterium. Its description in RNAcentral is "partial 16S ribosomal RNA". It matches the Rfam family "Bacterial small subunit ribosomal RNA", at positions 505 to 796 of the family's 1533-position model. The record is from RNAcentral.
GUGUCAGCAGCCGCGGUAAGACGAACCACACAAACGUUAUUCGGAAUUACUGGGCUUAAAGGGUGCGUAGGCGGCGCAGAAAGUUGGGUGUGAAAUACCUCGGCUCAACCGAGGAACUGCGCCCAAAACUGCUGUGCUCGAGGAAGAUAGAGGUGAGCGGAACUUACGGUGGAGCGGUGAAAUGCGUUGAUAUCGUAAGGAACACCUGUGGCGAAAGCGGCUCACUGGGUCUUUUCUGACGCUGAUGCACGAAAGCUAGGGGAGCAAACGGGAUUAGAAACCCGUGUAGUCC